ACUGCAGAUGACAUCCGUAUUGCUGACUGUACUGUAGCAGCAGGAGGAGAUGGGUGCCAGCCUUGGAGAAUCCUGCAGGUGAAAGUGAAACGUGAGGCAGGUGCCAUUGCCAAUGGCAGUGCACGCCACACACAAGCAUCAGCAUCAGCAAAUUCAGCAGCAACAACCAACCAGCAACGCACGCAGCAAACAUCCACAGCAGCUGGCUCCUCCUUCCCCCACUCCAACAGUUUGGCAGCAGCAGCAGCGGCAGCUCGUUUCCUCGUCGCGUGCAUGCACAAUUGCAUAGAGUAUGCAGCUGCAGCCGCAGAGGUGAGUACUCCUGCGUCCCAUAGAAAAACUGGAUCAUAUGACAUCCUAAUACUACGAAUCUGAAUAUACAUAG
RNAcentral lists this long non-coding RNA (385 nucleotides) under Oryza sativa Indica Group (long-grained rice). Its description in RNAcentral is "lncRNA OsIR64_11g0003840". The record is from RNAcentral. RNAcentral also lists the same sequence under 1 other name. Lineage: Eukaryota; Viridiplantae; Streptophyta; Magnoliopsida; Poales; Poaceae.